GAUGAACGCUGGCGGCGUGCCUAAUACAUGCAAGUCGAGCGAACGGACGAGAAGCUUGCUUCUCUGAUGUUAGCGGCGGACGGGUGAGUAACACGUGGAUAACCUACCUAUAAGACUGGGAUAACUUCGGGAAACCGGAGCUAAUACCGGAUGAUAUUUUGAACCGCAUGGUUCAAAAGUGAAAGACGGUCUUGCUGUCACUUAUAGAUGGAUCCGCGCUGCAUUAGCUAGUUGGUAAGGUAACGGCUUACCAAGGCAACGAUGCAUAGCCGACCUGAGAGGGUGAUCGGCCACACUGGAACUGAGGCACGGUCCAGACUCCUACGGAGGGCAGCAGUAGGGAAUCUUCCGCAAUGGGCGAAAGCCUGACGGAGCAACACCGCGUGAGUGAUGAAGGUCUUCGGAUCGUAAAACUCUGUUAUUAGGGAAGAACAUAUGUGUAAGUAACUGUGCACAUCUUGACGGUACCUAAUCAGAAAGCCACGGCUAACUACGUG
RNAcentral lists this ribosomal RNA (497 nucleotides) under uncultured bacterium. Its description in RNAcentral is "partial 16S ribosomal RNA". It matches the Rfam family "Bacterial small subunit ribosomal RNA", at positions 28 to 507 of the family's 1533-position model. The record is from RNAcentral.